UGAUAUAUGAGUUUGAUGAACAGUAGUUAUUGUGUCAGUUUCUGGCUGGAAAUUAUUCUUUGUUAAAGAAGUUGAAAUACAUUACCUGAUUAAAUGUGGUAAUGUCAGGUGCUGAAAGUUUCUUGAGAAAUUCACAUCCGGAAGGGAGGAGUCCAAUCAAAAGAAAUAUGAGAUAUUGAAAAAAACGUCAUUGGUUUCUGCUGAUGGAUGCAAGAUCAAUUGUUUGAGAUAAAACAACAAACACCAGAAUCAAACUCCAGUUUUUAAAUUUUGCAUGCACAGACUGGUCCCAUGAAUGGCUUCACCAUUACACAGGGUGUCCCUGUAAAAAUAUACUCACUCUUUAAAUAACAAUAAAUGCAUUGUUUAUUGACUUAGGAACAAGAUUAAUAGCUAAAUGCAUAAACAGCUAAAUGCAUGUUUAUAAAUGUUUAAACUGAUGGCCACUGCUUUCCAAACACAGCUGAUAACACGGACCAAUGAAUCCAACAGUGUUAUAUAUGUGUGGCAGCAGACUUUGGCUCCUCACCUUUUACCCCCAGAAAGAGUCAGAAGUGAUUGUCAGAGAAUUUUUAUGACUUCACCAGCCCCAAUUUCUGGCCUCCUAAUUUCCCCAAUCGUAAUCCCAUGGAUUACUAUGUGUUGGGUACACCAACUGCUCUGCCUGCAACAGGAAGACCAAGCUGGUGACCCAACACAAGGAAAUGUAUUAAGAUCUUCCAAGGACACAGAGAGGAACGCAUGAACCAGGUUCCGGAGCCAUCUUGAGGCCAUUAUGAAAGCUGAGAACAGCUACUUUGAAUAAACUGUUAUUUCUCAGCCAAAAUCUUGUUGGUAUGUUUCGAUUUUUUAAAAUACUGUUAUUUUUCGAUGUGAAAUUGUGUUUUCUUUUCCUUUCAUGCAAACUGACAAAUUCAGGCCAAACACUUUGUAUACA
This is a long non-coding RNA of Octopus bimaculoides (California two-spot octopus), 937 nucleotides long. The record is from RefSeq and is a predicted model, not a curated record. Lineage: Eukaryota; Metazoa; Mollusca; Cephalopoda; Octopoda; Octopodidae.